CCUACGGGUGGCAGCAGUGGGGAAUAUUGGACAAUGGGCGAAAGCCUGAUCCAGCCAUGCCGCGUGUAUGAAGAAGGCCUUCGGGUUGUAAAGCACUUUCAGUGGGGAAGAAAGCCUUGGGGCUAAUACCCUCGAGGAAGGACAUCACCCACAGAAGAAGCACCGGCUAACUCCGUGCCAGCAGCCGCGGUAAUACGGAGGGUGCGAGCGUUAAUCGGAAUUACUGGGCGUAAAGCGCGCGUAGGCGGUCUGAUAAGCCGGUUGUGAAAGCCCCGGGCUCAACCUGGGAACGGCAUCCGGAACUGUCAGGCUAGAGUGCAGGAGAGGAAGGUAGAAUUCCCGGUGUAGCGGUGAAAUGCGUAGAGAUCGGGAGGAAUACCAGUGGCGAAGGCGGCCUUCUGGACUGACACUGACGCUGAGGUGCGAAAGCGUGGGUAGCAAACAGGAUUAGAUACCCGAGUAGUC
Molecule: ribosomal RNA, 465 nt
Filed under: Vreelandella stevensii
Lineage: Bacteria; Pseudomonadati; Pseudomonadota; Gammaproteobacteria; Oceanospirillales; Halomonadaceae
Description: partial 16S ribosomal RNA
Rfam family: Bacterial small subunit ribosomal RNA
Source: RNAcentral